CGGGAUACAUUGAAAUACAAUAAAUAAAAAAACAGAGAAUACAAUAAAAUAUAUGAAAUACAGAGACAAGUAUAGAUGGUCGAUUAAAAUCCGAUGCAGAGCUCGAGUUCAGUAGUUUAUUCAGGAAGGCAUGUUGCCUGAAAACAUUGUGAAUUUUUGGUACGACAAAUGUUACGGUGACGAAUGAGGCUGAUGAAUUGGGAAGCAUUGAGAUUGAAAGGAGUAUCAUCUAUUUGAAAAUGGAUAAUUCAGACAGAGAGAUGAUUUGCAGAGGAAGUGACAGAGAGCACCAG
This 293-nucleotide long non-coding RNA is filed under the name Nicotiana benthamiana. RNAcentral describes it as "long non-coding RNA (NBEN_LNC033585)". Lineage: Eukaryota; Viridiplantae; Streptophyta; Magnoliopsida; Solanales; Solanaceae. The record is from RNAcentral.